This 441-nucleotide ribosomal RNA is filed under the name uncultured Syntrophus sp. RNAcentral's name for it is "bacterial SSU rRNA". It matches the Rfam family "Bacterial small subunit ribosomal RNA", at positions 941 to 1382 of the family's 1533-position model. Lineage: Bacteria; Pseudomonadati; Thermodesulfobacteriota; Syntrophia; Syntrophales; Syntrophaceae. The record is from RNAcentral.
GUGGUUUAAUUCGAUGCAACGCGAAGAACCUUACCUGGGCUUGACAUCCGAGAAUCUCCUGGAAACAGGAGAGUGCCCUUCGGGGAACUCGGUGACAGGUGCUGCAUGGCUGUCGUCAGCUCGUGUCGUGAGAUGUUGGGUUAAGUCCCGCAACGAGCGCAACCCUUGUCUUUAAUUGCCAUCAUUCAGUUGGGCACUUUAAAGAGACUGCCGGUGUCAAACCGGAGGAAGGUGAGGAUGAUGUCAAGUCAGCAUGACCUUUAUAUCCAGGGCUACACACACGCUACAAUGGUCUGUACAAUGGGUAGCCAAGCCGCGAGGCGGAGCCAAUCCUGAAAGCAGGCCUCAGUUCAGAUUGCAGUCUGCAACUCGACUGCAUGAAGCCGGAGUUGCUAGUAACCGCAGGUCAGCAAUACUGCGGUGAAUACGUUCCCGGGUCUU